RNAcentral lists this ribosomal RNA (495 nucleotides) under uncultured Chloroflexota bacterium. Its description in RNAcentral is "bacterial SSU rRNA". It matches the Rfam family "Bacterial small subunit ribosomal RNA", at positions 355 to 863 of the family's 1533-position model. Lineage: Bacteria; Bacillati; Chloroflexota. The record is from RNAcentral.
UGAGGGAUAUUGGUCAAUGGGGGCAACCCUGAACCAGCGACGCCGCGUGGGUGAAGAAGGUCUUCGGAUCGUAAAGCCCUUUUCUGCGUGAAGAGGAAGGACGGUAGCGCAGGAAUAAGUCUCGGCUAACUACGUGCCAGCAGCCGCGGUAAAACGUAGGAGACAAGCGUUAUCCGGAGUUACUGGGCGUAAAGGGCGUGUAGGUGGCAGAGUAAGUCUGUUGUGAAAGCUCCUGGCUUAACCGGGAGAGGCCAAUGGAGACUGCUCCGCUGGAGGCCGGUAGAGGUGGGUGGAAUUCCGGGUGUAGUGGUGAAAUGCGUAGAGAUCCGGAGGAACACCAGAGGCGAAGGCGGCCCACUAGGCCGGACCUGACACUGAAACGCGACAGCAUGGGGAGCAAACGGGAUUAGAAACCCCGGUAGUCCAUGCCGUAAACGAUGCCAGCUAGAUGUUCAGGCUGCAAGUGCAGACUGGGUGUCGCAGCUAACGCGAUAA